GGUCAAGUGAAGAAGCGCAUACGGUGGAUGCCUUGGCAGUCAGAGGCGAUGAAAGACGUGGUAGCCUGCGAAAAGCUUCGGGGAGUCGGCAAACAGACUUUGAUCCGGAGAUCUCUGAAUGGGGGAACCCACCUAGGAUAACCUAGGUAUCUUGUACUGAAUCCAUAGGUGCAAGAGGCGAACCAGGGGAACUGAAACAUCUAAGUACCCUGAGGAAAAGAAAUCAACCGAGAUUCCCUUAGUAGUGGCGAGCGAACGGGGAUUAGCCCUUAAGCUUCAUUGAUUUUAGCGGAACGCUCUGGAAAGUGCGGCCAUAGUGGGUGAUAGCCCCGUACGCGAAAGGAUCUUUGAAGUGAAAUCGAGUAGGACGGAGCACGAGAA
Molecule: ribosomal RNA, 381 nt
Filed under: Pseudomonas aeruginosa
Lineage: Bacteria; Pseudomonadati; Pseudomonadota; Gammaproteobacteria; Pseudomonadales; Pseudomonadaceae
Description: partial 23S ribosomal RNA
Rfam family: Bacterial large subunit ribosomal RNA
Source: RNAcentral